UAAAUAUCUGAUCCUCCUGCCUCCACCU
This 28-nucleotide non-coding RNA is filed under the name Rattus norvegicus (Norway rat). The record is from RNAcentral. Lineage: Eukaryota; Metazoa; Chordata; Mammalia; Rodentia; Muridae.